This 395-nucleotide ribosomal RNA is filed under the name Raorchestes parvulus (Karin bubble-nest frog). RNAcentral describes it as "partial 16S ribosomal RNA". It matches the Rfam family "Bacterial large subunit ribosomal RNA", at positions 1835 to 2433 of the family's 2925-position model. The record is from RNAcentral. Lineage: Eukaryota; Metazoa; Chordata; Amphibia; Anura; Rhacophoridae.
CUUGAUAUACAUAAGAGGUCUUGCCUGCCCAGUGAUAAACUUCAACGGCCGCGGUACCCUAACCGUGCAAAGGUAGCAUAAUCACUUGUUCUCUAAAUAAGGACUCGUAUUAACGGCAUAACGAGGGUUACACUGUCUCCCCCCUCCAAUCAGUGAAACUGAUCCCCCCGUGAAAAAGCGGGGAUAAAACUAUAAGACGAGAAGACCCCGUGGAGCUUUAAACCAACAGCAAUUUAGUAAAAAAUUCCCUCAUAACUAUAAAASKAGGCUAACGGCUUUMGGUUGGGGUGACCACGGAGUAAAACUUAACCUCCAUGUCGAAAAGAUAAUCUUAACCUAAGAAUUACUAUUCUAAGAAUUAGAAAACUAACGAACCAUGACCCGAUUAUCGAUCA